Molecule: ribosomal RNA, 1275 nt
Filed under: metagenome
Description: bacterial LSU rRNA
Rfam family: Bacterial large subunit ribosomal RNA
Source: RNAcentral
UGUACCCGUACCGUAAACCGACACAGGUGGAUGAGGAGAGAAUCCUAAGGCCGGCGGAAGAAGUAUUGCCAAGGAACUCGGCAAAAUGGCCCCGUAACUUAGGGAGAAGGGGUGCCUGCGAGAGCAGGCCGCAGAGAAUAGGCUCAAGCAACUGUUUAGCAAAAACACAGGUCUAUGCGAAACCGAAAGGUGAGGUAUAUGGGCUGACGCCUGCCCGGUGCUGGAAGGUUAAGAGGAGAGGUCAGACGCAAGUCGAAGCUUUGAAUUUAAGCCCCAGUAAACGGCGGCCGUAACAAUAACGGUCCUAAGGUAGCGAAAUUCCUUGUCGGGUAAGUUCCGACCCGCACGAAAGGCGUAAUGAUUUGAGCGCUGUCUCGGCAAUACAUCCGGUGAAAUUGAAGUGCCAGUGAAGAUGCUGGCUACCCGCGCCAGGACGGAAAGACCCCAUGGAGCUUUACUCCAGUUUGGCACUGGGGUCCGGUGUUGCAUGUACAGGAUAGGUGGGAGGCUGAGAAACGGUAACGUCAGUUGCCGCGGAGCCGCUGUUGGGAUACCACCCUUGUGAUAUUGGGCUUCUAACCAGCCGCCGUGAUCCGGCGGUGGGACAAUGCCAGGCGGGGAGUUUGACUGGGGCGGUCGCCUCCGAAAGGGUAUCGGAGGCGCCCAAAGGUUCCCUCAGAAUGGACGGAAACCAUUCGAAGAGUGCAAAGGCAGAAGGGAGCUUGACUGCGACACCGACGGGUGGAGCAGGUACGAAAGUAGGGCUUAGUGAUCCGGUGGUAUUAAGUGGGAAUGCCAUCGCUCAACGGAUAAAAGCUACCCUGGAUAACAGGCUUAUCACUCCCAAGAGUUCACAUCGACGGAGUGGUUUGGCACCUCGAUGUCGGCUCAUCGCAUCCUGGGGCUGUAGUAGGUCCCAAGGGUUGGGCUGUUCGCCCAUUAAAGCGGUACGCGAGCUGGGUUCAGAACGUCGUGAGACAGUUCGGUCCCUAUCCGGCGUGGGCGUAGGAUAUCUGAGAGGAGCUGUCCUUAGUACGAGAGGACCGGGAUGGACGGACCGCUGGUGGACCGGUUGGCUUGCCAAAGCCAUGGCCGGGUAGCCAAGUCCGGAAGGGAUAAACGCUGAAGGCAUCUAAGCGUGAAGCCCCCCUCAAGAUGAGAUAUCCCAUUCUUAUGAAGUAAACCCCCUUGAAGACGACGAGGUAGAUAGGGCAGAGGUGGAAGUGUGGUAACGCAUGGAGCUGACUGUUACUAAUCGGGUGAGGGCUUGAUCAA